Molecule: ribosomal RNA, 1179 nt
Filed under: Salmonella enterica subsp. enterica serovar Bareilly str. CFSAN000226
Lineage: Bacteria; Pseudomonadati; Pseudomonadota; Gammaproteobacteria; Enterobacterales; Enterobacteriaceae
Description: bacterial LSU rRNA
Rfam family: Bacterial large subunit ribosomal RNA
Source: RNAcentral
GGGUUGUGAGGUUAAGCGACUAAGCGUACACGGUGGAUGCCCUGGCAGUCAGAGGCGAUGAAGGGCGUGCUAAUCUGCGAUAAGCGCCGGUAAGGUGAUAUGAACCGUUAUAACCGGCGAUACCCGAAUGGGGAAACCCAGUGUGAUUCGUCACACUAUCAUUAACUGAAUCCAUAGGUUAAUGAGGCGAACCGGGGGAACUGAAACAUCUAAGUACCCCGAGGAAAAGAAAUCAACCGAGAUUCCCCCAGUAGCGGCGAGCGAACGGGGAGGAGCCCAGAGCCUGAAUCAGCAUGUGUGUUAGUGGAAGCGUCUGGAAAGGCGCGCGAUACAGGGUGACAGCCCCGUACACAAAAGCGCAUGUGCUGUGAGCUCGAUGAGUAGGGCGGGACACGUGGUAUCCUGUCUGAAUAUGGGGGGACCAUCCUCCAAGGCUAAAUACUCCUGACUGACCGAUAGUGAACCAGUACCGUGAGGGAAAGGCGAAAAGAACCCCGGCGAGGGGAGUGAAAAAGAACCUGAAACCGUGUACGUACAAGCAGUGGGAGCACCCUUUUGGGUGUGACUGCGUACCUUUUGUAUAAUGGGUCAGCGACUUAUAUUCUGUAGCAAGGUUAACCGUAUAGGGGAGCCGGAGGGAAACCGAGUCUUAAUUGGGCGUUAAGUUGCAGGGUAUAGACCCGAAACCCGGUGAUCUAGCCAUGGGCAGGUUGAAGGUUGGGUAACACUAACUGGAGGACCGAACCGACUAAUGUUGAAAAAUUAGCGGAUGACCUGUGGCUGGGGGUGAAAGGCCAAUCAAACCGGGAGAUAGCUGGUUCUCCCCGAAAGCUAUUUAGGUAGCGCCUCGUGAAUUCAUCUCCGGGGGUAGAGCACUGUUUCGGCUAGGGGGCCAUCCCGGCUUACCAACCCGAUGCAAACUGCGAAUACCGGAGAAUGUUAUCACGGGAGACACACGGCGGGUGCUAACGUCCGUCGUGAAGAGGGAAACAACCCAGACCGCCAGCUAAGGUCCCAAAGUCAUGGUUAAGUGGGAAACGAUGUGGGAAGGCCCAGACAGCCAGGAUGUUGGCUUAGAAGCAGCCAUCAUUUAAAGAAAGCGUAAUAGCUCACUGGUCGAGUCGGCCUGCGCGGAAGAUGUAACGGGGCUAAACCAUGCACCGAAGCUGCGGCAGCGAC